AGCGAACGCUGGCGGCAGGCCUAACACAUGCAAGUCGAACGAAACUUUCGUGGUUAGUGGCGGACGGGGGAGGAACACGGGGGAACGUGCCUUUAGGUUCGGAAUAACUCAGGGAAACUUGUGCUAAUACCGAAUGAGCUAUUCUGGGGCAGGAUUUGUCGCCUUUAGAGCGGCCCGCGUCCGUUUAGCUAGUUGGUUGAGGUAAUGGCGCACUAAGGCUAGGUUCAGGAGCUGGUCUGGGAGGAUGAACAGCCACAUUGGGACGUGGACGCAGCCCAAACUCCUACGGGAGGCAGCAGUGGGGGAUCUUGCGAAAUGGGCGAGAGCCUGACGCAGCCAUGCCGCGUGAAUGAUGAAGGUCUUAGGAUUGUAAAAUUCUUUCACCGGGGACGAUAAUGACGGUACCCGGAGAAGAAGCCCCGGCUAACUUCGUG
This 434-nucleotide ribosomal RNA is filed under the name uncultured bacterium. RNAcentral's name for it is "partial 16S ribosomal RNA". It matches the Rfam family "Bacterial small subunit ribosomal RNA", at positions 29 to 507 of the family's 1533-position model. The record is from RNAcentral.